This 3021-nucleotide long non-coding RNA is filed under the name Homo sapiens (human). RNAcentral's name for it is "HSALNT0174656". The record is from RNAcentral. Lineage: Eukaryota; Metazoa; Chordata; Mammalia; Primates; Hominidae.
GAUACGGAGUCUUCCUCUAUUGCCCAGGCUGGAGUGCAGUGGCUCAAUCUUGGCUCACUGCAACCUUCGCCUCCUGGGUUCAAGAAAUUCUCCUGCCUCAGCCUCCCGAGUAGCUAGGACUACAGGCGCACACCAUCAUGCCUGGCUAGUUUUUUUGUAUUUUUAGUAGAGACGGGGUUUCACCAUAUUGGCCAGGCUGGUCUUGAACUCCUGACCUCGUGAUCUGCCUACCUUGGACUACCAAAGUGCUGGGAUUACUGACGUGAGCCACCGCGCCCAGACUUCCUGCCUCUUUUCUAGUGUCCUGGCCUGCUUUGGAGCUCAGUCUGAAGUUAGCUCCUGCUUUGGGGGUUACCUCCCCCUGAACUCCAGGCUAGGCUGGGUUUCCCUGUUUUUCCUCCCAGAGCACCUGUAUAUCUUCUUUGUAGCAUUCAUUCAUUCAUUCAUGUUUCAUUCAGUAAGUAUCUACUCAGAGCACAUGGUAAGUCAGGUGCUGGAGACAGAGCACAAAGGGGUCACAACUCCCACCCUCGUGGUGUGCACUGUCUAGUGGGGAAGACAGGAAAACAAAGAAAUGCAUAACCUUGUACCAAAUACUCAUACUCCUACUUUUUGAAAAAUCAGGAAAGGGGAUGGAGAUUGAUGGGGUGGUAUUUUAGACAUGGGGGUCCGGAAAGGUCACUCAGAAGAGGUGACAUUUGAGCAGAGAUGUGAGCAAAGUGAUUUGUCAUAGCAUGCCUUAAUUAUUCUCUGAACUUCUGUCUCAUGCCUGUCUUUUCUACUGGGCUAUAGCUGAAGACAAAAUAUUUGCCAGUCUUGUUCAUGAAGGUAUUCCAAUGCCUAGAACAUUGCUUUUGCACAUAGUAGGUGCUCAACAAACGGGCCUUGCACACAGUAGUUAAUAUCACAGGUUAAAGACGAAGAAUAAGGGGGAUCCCUGCCUUGAUGGACAAGGAGAAAAGCAGGGCCCUGAUGAGGGAGCCCCGCACUGCCAGGAUGGAGCAGGAGUGUCAAAGGAAGCCUUCCAACAGCGGUGGCACAGGCGCCAAGGCAACAAGGAAGGGUGGGAGCUCUGCAAGGCACCGGGCACUCCAGGCAGAAGGACCUGUGUGGGGAAAAGCAAGGCAGCUGGAAAAAGCAAGCGGAGCUGCGAAGGCGCCAAGGUAUAAACACAGACCAAGAGCCAAGGGUGGGGCCGGUACAGGGGGUCACUGGGAGAUGCCAGCACCCUCCACCCAGGCGUCCUUCGGGGCCAGCCAACCUAAGGAAGGAGGCCAGGCCUCACGCCCCUCUGUGCCUGACCCCUAGCCACACUGCCCUGUGGGGCCCGGCCUGGUUUCCCCUCCACUGCUCAGGGCGGAAAUCCAGCAGGGGCAGCCAGGCCGACAUCCAACCCUCCCACCGCAGGCCUGGCCUCAGCCCCUCUCCGGGCCUUUAACGAAGCCAUAAAUCCCCCGCAGGGCCGUGGGAGGGGCGGCGGCCCUGCACAUGUCCCGGCGGCCGGACAGAGGCCGGCAUCUCUGGCUGGCGGUGACUGAGCGCCCCGACACCCCAUCACUCAUUCCCCGCGCCCAGCUGCCCCCGCCUCGGCAGCAGCCCAUCCAUCUCAGCCGGCAGCUUUCAAGUCCGGCCCCAGGCCCCUCUGCUUAGUGUUAAGAUGAGCCCGGCUCACGCGGACUGUUCUUAUUUAUCUGGAGGUUCGUCCCACUGUGGCCAUCACUCUGCGGGGCGGCCCCAGUUCCCGGGACAGGCCCCCAGAAUGCGAUCCUCCUCCGUUUCCUUUCCCGCCCCCACCUGGCAACGCACAGAGAAGGCCUGCAGCCCGAGGGCGGAUUUGUUUCAGUCGCAGGUCGCUGGGCGUUUUGACCUCUGCUGUUUUCUUGGAAGGCUUUCAGCAGCCCUUUGAGGCAUCAGUGUCCGUGCUCUGUAGCGGUGGAAACUGAGGCACAGAGAGGGAAGCUCAGAGUUCUCCUGGCUGUCUGGCUCUGAUGCAGGACCAGUGGCCAAUCUUUGGCCAAAUCCUGCGAGGCCUCCUGGGGCCUUUGCAUGGCUGCCUUGCAAGUUUGGUCAGAUCAAUUUUCGUCCAGCAUUCUCUGCUACACUGCAAAGUCCUCCAGGGCAAGGAUCCACUCACGGAGGCCUUGCUGGACUCAGUCAUGGGAAGGGGGAGAUUAGUGUUGGGGUUUUGGGCAUGUUAUGCAUUGAAUGUUUGUGUUCCCCCCAAAUUUACAUGUUGAAGCCCUAACCUCCAAUGUGAAGGUUUUAGAGGUGGGGUGUUUGAGAGGUAAUUAGGUUGAGAUGUGGUCAUGAGGGUGGAACCCCCAUCUUGGGAUUCACGUCCUUAUAAGGAAAGGAAGAAACACCAGAGUUACACCUCUCUGUCUCUCUCCUUGCCACUUGAGAACACAGUGAGAAGGUAGCCAGGAAGAGAGCCCUCACCAGGAACAUAAUCUGCCGGCACUUUGAUCUUGGACUUCUAGCUUCCAGAACUAGGAGCAAUAAAUGUCUGUUGUUUAAGCCACCCACCCUGUGGUGUCUUGUUAAGCCAGGCCAAGCUGACUACAACAGAAGGGUCGUUCUGGAAUCAGAUAGAACUGAAGCCCUGACUCUGCCACCUCCCAGCUUGGGGGGAAUCGUUGAUGUCUUAGUCACAGUUCCUCUUCUGCAAAAUGAGCACAAGUGCCAGAGCCCUCCAGGUCACACAUGCAAACUUCCAGGAGCCAUGUGGGUCUGUCAGGGAGCUCCAUGAAGGCCCACAGCUUCAUUUAUGAUCACCAUCACCCUCUCAGGGGUGCUUGGCAUGGGGUCCUCAGAGGGCAGAUGGCCUUCUGGGUUUAAUCUUGUCAUCUCAACAGUUCAGGGGCCCUCGCAGACCAGACAUAUUUUGCCUGUGGUCAAGGAAUCCAGGCUGGGCAGAGUCUUCCAUCUUGGAGGCGACUGGAAUUCUGACAGCCAAGCAUGGAAGCCACAGUCAUCUCUCAGAGGAUGACCACCUGUGUCUUUGAGGAAUAAGAAGGGGGA